AACGAACGCUGGCGGCAUGCCUAACACAUGCAAGUCGAACGAGACCUUCGGGUCUAGUGGCGCACGGGUGCGUAACGCGUGGGAAUCUGCCCUUGGGUUCGGAAUAACAGUUGGAAACGACUGCUAAUACCGGAUGAUGACGUAAGUCCAAAGAUUUAUCGCCCAAGGAUGAGCCCGCGUAGGAUUAGCUAGUUGGUGAGGUAAAGGCUCACCAAGGCGUCGAUCCUUAGCUGGUCUGAGAGGAUGAUCAGCCACACUGGGACUGAGACACGGCCCAGACUCCUACGCGAGGCAGCAGUGGGGAAUAUUGGAGACUGGGCGAAAGCCUGACCCAGCAAUGCCGCGUGAGUGAUGAAGGCCUUAGGGUUGUAAAGCCCUUUUACACGGGAUGAUAAUGACAGUACCGGGAGAAUAAGCUCCGGCUAACUCCGUG
RNAcentral lists this ribosomal RNA (433 nucleotides) under uncultured bacterium. RNAcentral's name for it is "partial 16S ribosomal RNA". It matches the Rfam family "Bacterial small subunit ribosomal RNA", at positions 29 to 507 of the family's 1533-position model. The record is from RNAcentral.